Molecule: small nucleolar RNA, 96 nt
Filed under: Macleaya cordata
Lineage: Eukaryota; Viridiplantae; Streptophyta; Magnoliopsida; Ranunculales; Papaveraceae
Description: Small nucleolar RNA snR60/Z15/Z230/Z193/J17
Rfam family: Small nucleolar RNA snR60/Z15/Z230/Z193/J17
About the family: The members of this family belong to the C/D class of snoRNAs which contain the C (UGAUGA) and D (CUGA) box motifs. Most of the members of the box C/D family function in directing site-specific 2'-O-methylation of substrate RNAs.
Source: Rfam by way of RNAcentral
GGAGGUCAUAUGAUGAAUUUUAUUUGCAUAGUUCAGAUGAGAGAUUAAAAUCUUGUGAUUACUUUGCAUGUCUUUCGCUCCUAUCUGAUGACUUCC